Molecule: ribosomal RNA, 1489 nt
Filed under: Lactiplantibacillus plantarum
Lineage: Bacteria; Bacillati; Bacillota; Bacilli; Lactobacillales; Lactobacillaceae
Description: bacterial SSU rRNA
Rfam family: Bacterial small subunit ribosomal RNA
Source: RNAcentral
GACGAACGCUGGCGGCGUGCCUAAUACAUGCAAGUCGAACGAACUCUGGUAUUGAUUGGUGCUUGCAUCAUGAUUUACAUUUGAGUGAGUGGCGAACUGGUGAGUAACACGUGGGAAACCUGCCCAGAAGCGGGGGAUAACACCUGGAAACAGAUGCUAAUACCGCAUAACAACUUGGACCGCAUGGUCUGAGUUUGAAAGAUGGCUUCGGCUAUCACUUUUGGAUGGUCCCGCGGCGUAUUAGCUAGAUGGUGGGGUAACGGCUCACCAUGGCAAUGAUACGUAGCCGACCUGAGAGGGUAAUCGGCCACAUUGGGACUGAGACACGGCCCAAACUCCUACGGGAGGCAGCAGUAGGGAAUCUUCCACAAUGGACGAAAGUCUGAUGGAGCAACGCCGCGUGAGUGAAGAAGGGUUUCGGCUCGUAAAACUCUGUUGUUAAAGAAGAACAUAUCUGAGAGUAACUGUUCAGGUAUUGACGGUAUUUAACCAGAAAGCCACGGCUAACUACGUGCCAGCAGCCGCGGUAAUACGUAGGUGGCAAGCGUUGUCCGGAUUUAUUGGGCGUAAAGCGAGCGCAGGCGGUUUUUUAAGUCUGAUGUGAAAGCCUUCGGCUCAACCGAAGAAGUGCAUCGGAAACUGGGAAACUUGAGUGCAGAAGAGGACAGUGGAACUCCAUGUGUAGCGGUGAAAUGCGUAGAUAUAUGGAAGAACACCAGUGGCGAAGGCGGCUGUCUGGUCUGUAACUGACGCUGAGGCUCGAAAGUAUGGGUAGCAAACAGGAUUAGAUACCCUGGUAGUCCAUACCGUAAACGAUGAAUGCUAAGUGUUGGAGGGUUUCCGCCCUUCAGUGCUGCAGCUAACGCAUUAAGCAUUCCGCCUGGGGAGUACGGCCGCAAGGCUGAAACUCAAAGGAAUUGACGGGGGCCCGCACAAGCGGUGGAGCAUGUGGUUUAAUUCGAAGCUACGCGAAGAACCUUACCAGGUCUUGACAUACUAUGCAAAUCUAAGAGAUUAGACGUUCCCUUCGGGGACAUGGAUACAGGUGGUGCAUGGUUGUCGUCAGCUCGUGUCGUGAGAUGUUGGGUUAAGUCCCGCAACGAGCGCAACCCUUAUUAUCAGUUGCCAGCAUUAAGUUGGGCACUCUGGUGAGACUGCCGGUGACAAACCGGAGGAAGGUGGGGAUGACGUCAAAUCAUCAUGCCCCUUAUGACCUGGGCUACACACGUGCUACAAUGGAUGGUACAACGAGUUGCGAACUCGCGAGAGUAAGCUAAUCUCUUAAAGCCAUUCUCAGUUCUGAUUGUAGGCUGCAACUCGCCUACAUGAAGUCGGAAUCGCUAGUAAUCGCGGAUCAGCAUGCCGCGGUGAAUACGUUCCCGGGCCUUGUACACACCGCCCGUCACACCAUGAGAGUUUGUAACACCCAAAGUCGGUGGGGUAACCUUUUAGGAACCAGCCGCCUAAGGUGGGACAGAUGAUUAGGGUG